This 255-nucleotide ribosomal RNA is filed under the name uncultured bacterium. RNAcentral describes it as "partial 16S ribosomal RNA". It matches the Rfam family "Bacterial small subunit ribosomal RNA", at positions 74 to 334 of the family's 1533-position model. The record is from RNAcentral.
CAAUAUAAGUGAUGGCGACCGGCGCACGGGUGAGUAACACUAUCCAACCUGCCGAUAACUCGGGGAUAGCCUUUCGAAAGAAAGAUUAAUACCCGAUGGUAUAAUAAAACCGCAUGGUUUAAUUAUUAAAGAAUUUCGGUUAUCGAUGGGGAUGCGUUCCAUUAGGCAGUUGGUGAGGUAACGGCUCACCAAACCUUCGAUGGAUAGGGGUUCUGAGAGGAAGGUCCCCCACAUUGGAACUGAGACACGGUCCAA